GCCCCCGAGUGGGCUCGACCCGUCGUUUGCGGCAGUUUUUUGGGGGCUAGCACACCAGCCGGCUAGCUUACAGCUCGCUAAGCCAGCCCGUUUAGAGACCGAUAUACAACGCGAGCUAGCGCGGCUAACUGCCCUGCUAGCUCUGCCGGGCUGGGUGUCCUCCCAAGCGGGGUGAAAAUAAAAAGCCUCACCGUGAAGGGGACGUCGUUCACGCUGCCCACCGAGUAGCAGCAGUCUCCCGGGUUCACGGCUCCCGUCAGCACCUGGUGCAGAUGCAUCUUCCCCGGGUAGUUCAGCAGCAGAAAGCGGCUGGGGAUUCCAUCGGCGGCGUUCAACGUCGUCCUCGGCCUGGCGGUGUCGUCCUGCUCCUCCUCCACGGGCGGCAGCAGGGGGAAGGGGGAACCGGUGCUCAAACCCCCUGAUUAAUGGGAUCUCGUCCCGGAACUGACAUCGAUUUAGUCGCGUGAAAACGAGCCGCCCGCUGUCAACACCAUGCCCGCGACCAGUCGUGGGAUCCGCGGAGGAUCUCUGCAGCGAACCUGACAUGCGCGUUCACGACCUUCUUCCAGGCACGACAGAAUAGAUGUAGAUCUGUGGCACCUAGAUCGGGAGGCGGCAGCCCCUGGAUUCCACUCGGUGCCUCGUUUGUUUGAAUUAAAGCAAAAACAUAUUUCA
Molecule: long non-coding RNA, 675 nt
Organism: Hippoglossus stenolepis (Pacific halibut)
Lineage: Eukaryota; Metazoa; Chordata; Actinopteri; Pleuronectiformes; Pleuronectidae
Exons: 2
Source: RefSeq, a predicted model, not a curated record